RNAcentral lists this ribosomal RNA (253 nucleotides) under Roseburia faecis M72/1. RNAcentral describes it as "partial 16S ribosomal RNA". It matches the Rfam family "Bacterial small subunit ribosomal RNA", at positions 524 to 776 of the family's 1533-position model. The record is from RNAcentral. Lineage: Bacteria; Bacillati; Bacillota; Clostridia; Lachnospirales; Lachnospiraceae.
UACGUAUGGUGCAAGCGUUAUCCGGAUUUACUGGGUGUAAAGGGAGCGCAGGCGGUGCGGCAAGUCUGAUGUGAAAGCCCGGGGCUCAACCCCGGUACUGCAUUGGAAACUGUUGUACUAGAGUGUCGGAGGGGUAAGUGGAAUUCCUAGUGUAGCGGUGAAAUGCGUAGAUAUUAGGAGGAACACCAGUGGCGAAGGCGGCUUACUGGACGAUAACUGACGCUGAGGCUCGAAAGCGUGGGGAGCAAACAGG